Molecule: long non-coding RNA, 408 nt
Filed under: Gallus gallus (chicken)
Lineage: Eukaryota; Metazoa; Chordata; Aves; Galliformes; Phasianidae
Description: long non-coding RNA NONGGAT001031
Source: RNAcentral
UCUUUGUUGGAUAAGUCGACGCCCUCUGAGAAAGUCAGAACACGACUGGAAAGAUAAAAAGAAAGUUGUAACACUUGUAUAAGAAACCAAGGACAGGUAACAGCUCCUCACCUGUUCAAGCUGCAUAGAAGAGUGCUCUUUGCUGAAGCUGAUGUGAUUAAGAAGAUAUCCUGGAGGUUGGGGAUGAAUGGAAGGCUGGAAGGAAGCCUGGGAGUUUCAGAAGGUCUGCGUGGCCAGCGAGGAGCUUCUCAGUGAACUAGCACACAAGAAGAGACUGGAGAAGAGGCAGAAACAAGGGCAGGCAGCAAAACAGAAGUUAAAAAGCAGUGUUAGACACUUGGUGUCAAAAUCAGAAAGGCCAAAACCCAGCUGGAGCUGAGACUGCUGAGGAGCACAGAUGGGAACAAG